UGCUCUUUACAAGUUACCAAAACAUGCUAAAGGAGAGAUUCCCAUGCUGGGGCUGGAAUACAUGUACAUGGAUGCCCUGGCUCCGCAGUGGCAGCUUGGUAAAUACCUCAUCAACACGACGCAGGGCGCUCUGGGACGAACACUGAAGCAGCUGUAUGACACAUAUGAAUCUAAGAGGAACACCAUUGCCUAUGCGAUAUACAACGAUGAGAUCCCUGAAUCAGACUCCAGAGGGUGGAAAAGUGGACACACCAAAGGAUUUCUGCUCUUGGACAAAUCACAAGGCUUCUGGGUAAUUCACAGUGUGCCUCUGUUCCCUCCCAUCCCUGAGGAAGGUUAUGGGUAUCCAGCUACUGGGGAGUCCUUUGGACAGACAGCCAUCUGUAUAACCUUCAAAUAUGACCAGUUCACUGAAAUAGACCAACAGAUGUUGAGUUAUAAUCCCGGAAUCUACAGUUGUUCCAUCCCUAACAUCUUCCAAGCUGAUCUCCCAAAUCUGCAGAAGCUCUGUGCAAAGUCCAGGCUGCCCGUGGUCCCCUUGCGCCACCUCACCAAGCUCCGGUCAGCUCGUGGGGAAACCUUUCUCCACUUUGCAAAGUCACACUCAUUCAUAGAUGAUAUCUAUGUGGCCUGGAUAGCUCAGGAACUGAAGACCGAUUUGUUGGCUGAAUCCUGGCAGCGUUCUGGCCAAAAACUUUACUCAAAUUGCUCUCUCGAUUACCACGUCUACAACAUAAACCUAAUAGGGAUGCCAUUGAAUUCCACCUUUCAUUCCAUUAAUGAUCAUUCCAAAUGGGCUGUUUCAAGGAAAUACAAAGAUCAGUGGACCUGCAUCGGAGACUUAAACCGUGCUGCCGAGCAAGCUUGGAGAAGUGGGGGAUGUGCUCAGCAAAACUGACCCUGCAGGAAGGCACAAGCACUGGACCCUGGCCUGGAGAAGGAAUAAAGCUGCUCUCUUGUCUGCAAACCUGGAGUAUCUUCUCAGCGUGCAGGAAAGUCAAGGUGAGAAUAAAGGAACUGACAAUGUUGCAUGGAAUAUUUUGCAAAAAAAGACCAUGAAAGAAUUUCUGCACAGCAAAUAGGGAUAAUCUGUGCAGUUGUAUCCCCAGCCACUCACCAACUUGCCCUCCUCUUACUGUCAAAAGAUGAGAAGAAACAGAGAAACGGGAGCAAAGAGAGUUUGCAGGAAGAAGGGAGAAGAAGGAAUAAGACAACUGAAGAUACAGUCUCCACAGGCUACACCGCGGAGAUAAAAAUGAAAGGCAUAAACUGAGGUGACUUAGCCAAGCAGUACAAAAACACAAACCAACACCCGAGAGGAAGUUGCUACCUCUCUGUUACCAAACUACGAGAGGUGAGGCAAAAACUUUAAUAAAGGAAUAGGUCUGCUGCAACAAAGGAAAUAACAGCAAAAACAGAGACAAGGACACAUCCUAACCCCACUAAUAUCAGCAGGAAUUUGCCUUCAUCUUCAGUGGGAACAGAACUUCAAAGACAUGGGAAUCACCUAUAAAACCUGAAGGAUUUUCUAAGCUUGAGAGACCAGUUUUCAAAAGCUCUUUAGCAAAGUUAUUAUGUUGCAAGCAUUACUCCGACAGAAGAAACUGUAAAAGGAUGAUCAGAAAUAGUCAGGGGAACAAAGAUUGUGUUCAGCAUCACUCUGUGUUGGGUAAAGCACCGAACUGGUUGAACCAUGCAGACCAAGCAAAAGAGAUCCUGUGAUAAAAGGUCUAACUCAAGAGCAGAUUUCACUAUGAGUUUAAUUUCUUUGUUCAGUCAAACCCUGUGCACCAGACAGGAUUGACUCUGACAAGCUUCUACAGAAAAAUGAUCCCAAAGAGACUGAAAUCUAGGCCACAGCUACGAAUAAUUCUUCGGAAGCUCUCUGGAUUUCCUGGAGGGCAAGGUGUGGCUCUGUGUGUGGGAGGACAGUUCUUUGGAAAAGGACAGUGAUCUCAGAAGUAGCACAAGGAAUUCAGCAAAAUACCAGGCUGGAAACAGUAGAUGCUUCUUCAGUACUUUGCCAUGGGUAGCUAUUGGAUAAACUUCUGAGAAAGUGUAAUGUAUCAAAUCACAAUUUUGUUGUUCAUAGAAUUUCUAUUUGGGGAAGUAUUCCUGUUUUCUGCACUAGGCACUUGAAACUCCAGCAACCUCCAUUAUAUUUUUUUCCCCAGCUAAUAUACAAUUAAUGCAUUAUCUACUAGUUAUAAUCUACUAACUAACCAGAAGUGCUGACAGACUUGUAGUAAAUCAAACACCCAGUAUUAACAAGGCUGAUCUGGUUAUCAGUUUAAGAUAAUGGCCAGCUGUGCCAUCUUGAUAAAUCCUGUGGGAAGAAGUUAUUGUAAUGUCGGUUAUAACUACAUGGUUACUACUGUGUUGACAUCCGUACAUAAAGCAACUGUGAAAUAAUUUUUUAAACUCUAACGAGUUUAAAACUCAACAGUCAUAUGUAGCAGACUAGGGAAUUUCCAUAAUUUUUAAAUAAUACAUUUGCAAGGUUUUUUUGCAAGAAUACCGUGUAAAAUGCCUUCUUUUUUAAAAUGCUCUCCUUUGCUUCAUUUUUCCUGAGAUUAUUUAAGUCUUGCUCUGUCGGGCUUCCAAAAGCUUUGCUUCUUUUUCUUUGUCACAUGCACGUAGACACACGUUCUGAGAUGUUUGACACAGACAUUUGAAUGCAUCACUGAUUACUGCUCUUUGCAUGGUACAGCAAGAGGGUACACCAGGCUGAACUGCUGCACCUUCAAGAAGGGCAGGAUGAGACCCAGAGAACUACAGGUCUGCCAGCCUCACCCCUUUCCCCAGGAUGACUCUGGAGCAAAUACUCCUGGAAGACAUUUCCUAGCACCUGAGAUACACAAAGGUGAUUGAGAACAGACGGUGUAAAGUGGCUUUACCAAGGGCAAACCUUUGAUGGGAAGACUGGCUCAACAGAGGAGGAAGAGCAGUGCUUGCUAUUUACCUUGACUUUAGGGAGGCCUUCAACAUGGACUCCCACAGUGCCCUUACAGUCAGUUUGGAGAAAUAUGCAGUGGAAAAAUGUACAAGGUAGAUGGAUGGGCUGUGCAGUAAAUGGGUGUUGAUCAGCAGUUCUAAGUUCACACAAAAAGGUGGCUGGUUACUACUGGUGUUCCUCAGGGACCCAUACAGAGGCCAAAACUCUUACUGUCCUUAUUAAUGGCCUAGACAAGGUAACAGAGUGCACUCUCAGCACAUUUAGGAAUGAUACCUUUGGGGGACAUGGAUGUCAAUAGUCUGGAAGAUAAAACUGCCAUUCAGAGGGGCCUUUGUUGGUUUUUUUUAACAUUGUUUUGUUUCUUAAGCCUAGGACUUUUUACACAAAAGCAUGAAGAUUGUAAAGAAAUUCUCUAAAGCAAAAGCAUUACAGAAUGAAAACUAAGAAAAUUUCAUUUGCUCCUUAUUCAGCCAUAGCAAAAUUAACUUUUUUGGACACUGAGUCCACAUUUCUCAUUUGCUGGGUGGUGAACUUGAGAUAUGUGGAAUCUGGUAUCUAGAAUGAUCCUGAGCAUGGUGACAUUAAUUGUGAACCUAAUUGAAUAUAGUUGUGGUUUAAAUGCAUAGUGCUAAAUAUUCACCAAAUAACCUCUGGGUAUCUUACACUGGGCAUUCUAAAUUCAUAGAUAUGUUUAAUAAAUUUUGUUUUGACAAAAUGGUUUAAUUUUCUCAUCCAUAUAAUGGACAUCAUGCCUUCUUUCCAGUAAGCACCUUAAUGUUUGUACACAGCUCAGGUACUGUAAACAAGAGUAACCCAGAAAAGCAUAUGAAAAUAAUAAUUUUUUUUUUUGUGUUAAGUAAUGGGAUGAGGACAGGCAUUGAGAGCAUGUAGUAAGACCUAGUGUUAAUUCUAAACGUUAAAUAAUACCCAACUUUAUCAUGCAUGAUACCCAUUUUAUCCAUUAGAGAGAUUGCCCUGGGUGACUGAAAACACUGAAAUUAAAAGACUGUAACCAAGAUCCACUAAGGAAUGCAAGCCUGUAAGUCUCAAGCAGAUGAUCCUGAAAACUACUCACGCAGUUCCUGUGUAGGCACCUUGUAAUUUUACUUUGCUCCCCUAUGAAAUGCACCCCUGGAGAAACAGCUCUGGGUAUGCCUAAGUCUGGGAACAGUCUGGAAAGAGCUAAGCAGUUUAGCAUUUAUUUUUUGCUUACGCCUAGCUGAGUAAACAAGAGGCUUUUCUACAGUAGAGAUAACAGAUGGCUUGGUACAGUAUCACAUACCAAGCAUCACGGGCCUAGGAUCUCUACAAAAUACAAUUGCAGGGUUUCUCUCAAAAAGUGAUGGUAUAGAUGUUCAUAUUUCAUAGGACAGCAUAUUGUGGUGGGCCCAUGUCCAGCUCUAUUCUCAGCUGAAGAGAUGUGGGCUCAAAGACAGAUUCCCCUGCCACAGGGAGUGUCUCCCACCACUGACCAUUCCACCCUGGUGAGACCAUAUUAUCCUUUCUUCACUGCGCAAAAAAAACCCCAACAGAGCAUGCUAUGUAAGUUGUAAAAUAAGAGUAUCCUGGUUAAAAUGUUAUUUGCACAGAACAGAGUUCAAAGUUAAAACAAGCAAAAGACUCUGGAAUUCCUAUGAAAAAAUUAACCUAAUACUAUGCAUGCAUUUAUUAGUUGGGCCUUCCAUUGAAGUUGUAAUUGUACCUUGUCAGUGAUCUCUACCAAGUCCACAAUGUGUUUCUGGUGUAUUUUAUUGCUCCUUCCCUGCCUUAGGAAGUUCUUGUAUUUUUGUGUAUCAUUAUUUUGUUCCUGUGAGUCCUUGGAAGAAAAGUAUUUGAAUAAUAUUAGGAGGUUGUCUUCCCUCUUGCUGGGAGGGAGAAAAGAUAAUGUGUUUUUUCCACAUGUAAGAACUCGGUGAUCCCAACAAAAACACCAUUGCAAAUUGGAACUACAAAAACACAGAACUCCCUGUGUGCUCUGCUAACAGCAGUGAUGAAAAUCUUUGCUAAUGACUUUGAGAGACACCCUUGCAAUCUCUGACAUCUGAAUCAGCUAGAGAGAUAAAGUUACAGCAAGUCCUUGGUUAACAUAUUCUCAACAAAAUCCUCCAAAAUUCAAUUACCAUGGAAACUACUUAUCCUUAAGGCACUAAGGAUUGCUGAAAUAUUUUCUCCUGACAAAAAUGGGAGUGAAAAAUAUCAGGUUGUGCAUAAUGAGGCCUUUGAUCUUCCAUUUACAUCUGUGUUAAGUAGAGGUAAUCUCUAUGAAGCAAGUUGAGUUGAAGAGCAAUAUUCAUUUAUAGGACAGAACAAGGUUUAAGACUUUGGCUAAUUCUGGUUAUUUCUAGAUGUUUUUCCAUUAUCUUCGUAUGUUUAUGAUAACAGAUUUCUUUUUAUUUUUCUAGUAAGAGAAACAUAGUAAGGCAAAAUAGUGUUUGUAUAUAAAAUUAGUAGAUAACUUCAAGCUUUUAAAAAUUCCUUGGGACAAAUGGAAAUAAUCAGCCCCACUGAGACUCAGAAUUUUGUAGUCUGAGAUUAAAAAUGCCUCUAAUUUAGCCCAGCCCCCCCCAAAUCCCUUAGUACUCAUUUUCUAUAAAACAGAGUAUGGUCUUUGCUGUGCACAAACAUUUGCACGCCUCUAAGCAGGACAAUCAGCUCAGGAGCA
This is an RNA transcript of Lepidothrix coronata (blue-crowned manakin), 5618 nucleotides long. It is a transcript of the gene named deoxyribonuclease 2 beta, with no coding region annotated. The record is from RefSeq and is a predicted model, not a curated record. The transcript is spliced from 12 exons. NCBI's taxonomy places the organism in Eukaryota, Metazoa, Chordata, Aves, Passeriformes, Pipridae.